Molecule: ribosomal RNA, 492 nt
Filed under: uncultured bacterium
Lineage: Bacteria
Description: partial 16S ribosomal RNA
Rfam family: Bacterial small subunit ribosomal RNA
Source: RNAcentral
AGUGAACGCUGGCGGUAGGCCUAACACAUGCAAGUCGAACGGCAGCACAGUAAGAGCUUGCUCUUACGGGUGGCGAGUGGCGGACGGGUGAGGAAUACAUCGGAAUCUACUUUUUCGUGGGGGAUAACGUAGGGAAACUUACGCUAAUACCGCAUACGACCUACGGGUGAAAGCAGGGGAUCUUCGGACCUUGCGCGAUUGAAUGAGCCGAUGUCGGAUUAGCUAGUUGGCGGGGUAAAGGCCCACCAAGGCGACGAUCCGUAGCUGGUCUGAGAGGAUGAUCAGCCACACUGGAACUGAGACACGGUCCAGACUCCUACGGGAGGCAGCAGUGGGGAAUAUUGGACAAUGGGCGCAAGCCUGAUCCAGCCAUACCGCGUGGGUGAAGAAGGCCUUCGGGUCGUAAAGCCCUUUUGUUGGGAAAGAAAAGCGGCAGGUUAAUACCCCGCUGUUCUGACGGUACCCAAAGAAUAAGCACCGGCUAACUUCGUG